RNAcentral lists this ribosomal RNA (2028 nucleotides) under Narceus annularis. Its description in RNAcentral is "18S ribosomal RNA". It matches the Rfam family "Eukaryotic small subunit ribosomal RNA", at positions 24 to 1458 of the family's 1831-position model. The record is from RNAcentral. Lineage: Eukaryota; Metazoa; Arthropoda; Diplopoda; Spirobolida; Spirobolidae.
UCAUAUGCUCAUUUCAAAGAUUAAGCCAUGCAUGUCUCAGUACAAGCUGACCCCUAACCGGGGAAAAAGUGAAACCGCGAAUGGCUCAUUAUAUCAGUUAUGGUUCGUGAGAGCCAGAGAGAAAAGUGGAAACCACACGUGAAAGUUACUUGGAUAACUGUGGUAAUUCUAGAGCUAAUACAUGCCCAAAAGUGUUUACCCUGACAGGGUGCCAUGUGUGCCCAGGGUGCAUUUAUUUGAAAGUUGCUGUUCGGGGCUAUCCCGGCGGUGGUUAAGGUGCGACCGCCCGGUACCCACGCUGCGUUCGAGUUCUCCGGCUUCGGGAUAAAAUGCGUUUGGGGCGUCCGCUUCAGUGACGGUUCGCUAUGGCCACGGUCCGUAGUUUACGCGCCCGAGGGACAUGGUUUCUGAGGGUGGUCAACUCACACUGUACCCGUCCGGGCUGAAUCUCGUUCGUGCGUUCAAGGGCGCCGGCAACUGCGCUCACCGUUCUACGGGACCCGUCCGGCACAAAGAUUAAGCCACAAUAAACAGUUGAUCUGCCGAUCGUCUAUGGUAGUCGCGUCGAAACUUGCGCUCCGGCGCACAGCGGUACGCGCGCACGCCGACGACGGCUCUCGCAAGUGUCUGUCUUAUCAACUGUAGAUGGUAAGUUACGAGCCUACCAUGGUCGUAACGGGUAACGGGGAAUCAGGGUUCGAUUCCGGAGAGGGAGCCUGAGAAAUGGCUACCACAUCCAAGGAAGGCAGCAGGCACGCAAAUUACCCAAUCCCGGCACGGGGAGGUAGUGACGAAAAAUAACAAUACGAGACUCUUCCGAGGCCUCGUAAUUGGAAUGAGUGCAAUCUAAAGCCCUGUCUUUUGACGAGGAUCUAUUGGAGGGCAAGUCUGGUGCCAGCAGCCGCGGUAACACCAGCUCCAACGGCAUAUAUUAAAGCUGUUGCGGUUAAAAAGCUCAUAGUUGAAUCGAUUAACAGAGAAAGUUGGUCGGCCGAACCCGGAGUGAUCAAACAGUAACGGGUUGAGCCAAAAUGACACAACGCAGACCAUGAACAUGCCAACAAUUUGCACCCGGCCGGACUAGUCUUCUUGGAGAGAUUCCCUGCCGAAUGCGCGAAGCGCGUGGGACUGCGUGCGGGAGAAUGGGAGCGAUUGAGAGGAGCUAAGUGGGGGGUUUUCGCCUUUGGCCGCACAUGUUGCCGGGCCGUUGUACGCGGACUCUUUCCCCUCUCCAUGUCUCUCUCCCUAAACCUCAAACGAACGUACGUUCGGGUCUCUCAAGCGGUCGCGCGGCGUGGGUUUGGUAUCCGAUAACGAAACAAGAAUGUUUUCAUUAGUCAAGAACGAAAGUCAGAGGUUCGAAGGCGAUCAGAUACCGCCCUAGUUCUGACCAUAAACGAUGCCAACUCGCAAUCAGCCGUCGUUCCUCCAAUGACGCGGCUGGCAGCUUGCCCCCGGGAAACCAAAGUGUCUGGGUUCCGGGGGUAGUAUGGUUGCAAAACUGAAACUUAAAGGAAUUGACGGAAGGGCACCACCAGAGGUGGAGCCUGCGGCUUAAUUUGACUCAACACGGGGAAACUUACCCGGCCCGGACAUUGAAAGGAUUGACAGAUUGAUAGCUCUUUCUUGAUUCAAUGGGUGGUGGUGCAUGGCCGUUCCUGGUUGGUGGAGUGAUUUGUCUGGUUGAUUCCGAUAACGAACGAGACUCUGGCCUACUAAAUAGACGGUGCGGUGAGAAAAGGAUCUCUCCUCCGUCCGCACUUGCACCGAGCUGCGCCAUGCUUUCGUAGCCUCGCUCGUCCGUCCGCAUUCCCCCCUCGGGCAAGUGGGACUCCGGUCCUGCCGGUCCCGUUGGAGUGUGCGGUGGUUGUUGCGUUGCCGCGUUACGCGAGGUGUUGGUUCCGCGCGCUUGCUGCGGCGUGAGGUCGGUCCGAAAAGAGCCGUUGAUCAAAAUAUAUAUACCGUCAGAAUGAAUUUUCUUCUUAGAGGGACUAGCGGCGUAUAGCCGCAUGAAACAGAGCAAUAACA